RNAcentral lists this ribosomal RNA (394 nucleotides) under uncultured organism. Its description in RNAcentral is "bacterial SSU rRNA". It matches the Rfam family "Bacterial small subunit ribosomal RNA", at positions 45 to 433 of the family's 1533-position model. The record is from RNAcentral.
UGCCUUACACAUGCAAGUCGAACGGCAGCGCGGGCGGGGGUAACCUCGCCUGGCGGCGAGUGGCGAACGGGUGAGUAAUAUAUCGGAACGUACCCUGGAGUGGGGGAUAACGUAGCGAAAGUUACGCUAAUACCGCAUACGAUCCAAGGAUGAAAGCAGGGGACCGCAAGGCCUUGUGCUCCUGGAGCGGCCGAUAUCUGAUUAGCUAGUUGGCGGGGUAAAAGCCCACCAAGGCAACGAUCAGUAGCUGGUCUGAGAGGACGACCAGCCACACUGGAACUGAGACACGGUCCAGACUCCUACGGGAGGCAGCAGUGGGGAAUUUUGGACAAUGGGCGCAAGCCUGAUCCAGCAAUGCCGCGUGAGUGAAGAAGGCCUUCGGGUUGUAAAGCUC